RNAcentral lists this unclassified non-coding RNA (331 nucleotides) under soil metagenome. RNAcentral's name for it is "partial contains 5.8S ribosomal RNA, internal transcribed spacer 2, and large subunit ribosomal RNA". The stretch from base 1 to 120 matches the Rfam family "5.8S ribosomal RNA", at positions 35 to 154 of the family's 154-position model. The record is from RNAcentral.
GAUGAAGAACGUAGCGAAAUGCGAUAAGUAAUGUGAAUUGCAGAAUUCAGUGAAUCAUCGAAUCUUUGAACGCACAUUGCGCCCCCUGGUAUUCCGGGGCGCAUGCCUGUUCGAGCGUCAUUUCACCACUCAAGCCUCGCUUGGUAUUGGGCAACGCGGUCCGCCGCGUGCCUCAAAUCGACCGGCUGGGUCUUCUGUCCCCUAAGCGUUGUGGAAACUAUUCGCUAAAGGGUGUUCGGGAGGCUACGCCGUAAAACAACCCCAUUUCUAAGGUUGACCUCGGAUCAGGUAGGGAUACCCGCUGAACUUAAGCAUAUCAAUAAGCGGAGGA